AAGCACUUGGAAAACAACGAUAUUUUACCAGAAGAACAAAAAGGGUGCCGGAGAGGGAUGUAUGGCUAUAAGGAGCAACUUCUGGUAAACCGAGCCAUUAUAGAAGACUGUAAAAGGAGAAAGACAAACCUGAACGUGACUUGGAUUGAUUACCACAAGGCAUUCAACAGUGUUCCACACUCAUGGAUACUGGAAUCUCUCCACAGUAAUAAGAUAUAUUACAAAUGCAG
Molecule: long non-coding RNA, 230 nt
Organism: Octopus sinensis (East Asian common octopus)
Lineage: Eukaryota; Metazoa; Mollusca; Cephalopoda; Octopoda; Octopodidae
Exons: 3
Source: RefSeq, a predicted model, not a curated record